GCUCAACUGAUGAGUCCCAAAUAAAACGAGACGCGCGUCCUGGAU
This is a non-coding RNA of Schistosoma mattheei, 45 nucleotides long. The record is from Rfam. Lineage: Eukaryota; Metazoa; Platyhelminthes; Trematoda; Strigeidida; Schistosomatidae.